GGCCAGUUUGCUCAGUUGUUAGAGCAUUAGCCCUGCGACCAAAAGGUCGCAGGUUCAAUUCCCGUCCUGACCC
Molecule: non-coding RNA, 73 nt
Organism: Myotis davidii
Lineage: Eukaryota; Metazoa; Chordata; Mammalia; Chiroptera; Vespertilionidae
Source: Rfam